Vault RNA from Varanus komodoensis (Komodo dragon), 95 nucleotides. Its record names the gene Vault. It matches the Rfam family "Vault RNA". Rfam says of the family: This family of RNAs are found as part of the enigmatic vault ribonucleoprotein complex. The complex consists of a major vault protein (MVP), two minor vault proteins (VPARP and TEP1), and several small untranslated RNA molecules. Lineage: Eukaryota; Metazoa; Chordata; Lepidosauria; Squamata; Varanidae. The record is from Ensembl.
GGGCCGGCCCAGCCCAGCGGUUCCUUCGAAAACAUUCGCAUUGGCAAUGUUAACUGUUAGCAGUUCGAGCCCCGCGGGCGCUGCCUGGCCUUUUG